Molecule: ribosomal RNA, 207 nt
Filed under: uncultured bacterium
Lineage: Bacteria
Description: partial 16S ribosomal RNA
Rfam family: Bacterial small subunit ribosomal RNA
Source: RNAcentral
UGCGCAGGCGGUUUUGUAAGACAGGCGUGAAAUCCCCGAGCUCAACUUGGGAAUGGCGCUUGUGACUGCAAGGCUAGAGUAUGUCAGAGGGGGGUAGAAUUCCACGUGUAGCAGUGAAAUGCGUAGAGAUGUGGAGGAAUACCGAUGGCGAAGGCAGCCCCCUGGGACGUGACUGACGUUCAUGCACGAAAGCGUGGGGAGCAAACA